GGUGGUUCUCAGGUGAUGCACCCCAGAAUGAACUCCCCUCCUCUCUGGUUCUGGGUGUGUCACCCAAGAACCCCA
This is a non-coding RNA of Myotis brandtii (Brandt's bat), 75 nucleotides long. The record is from Rfam. NCBI's taxonomy places the organism in Eukaryota, Metazoa, Chordata, Mammalia, Chiroptera, Vespertilionidae.